UCUGCGUCAUAUUUCGGGUUUCGCGUAGCUCAAUUGGCAGAGCAUUGCAAUAUAUAACAAUAUGCAAUCAUGCGAUCGUGAGGUUCGAUCCCAGGGAACACGUGCUCAAAAAGUGCAUAUGCACUAUAAAUCACUAAGGGUAGGUUUAGGGGUGGUGUGGUUGUAGCUGUUAAUAAAAAAUGAGUUUUGCUAAAUGGAAAUAGGACAAAUGGUGUAAAAAGUCCACACAUUGCAUUUAAAUGAACACGCAUUUUGAUUGGUGCGUUUCAUGACGACAGACGUACUAUAUCAUGACACUGUCAUUAUUUUUACGCCAGCUAGAGGGCGCAUGACUUAAAAAUGUAAAUAUAGGUUGUAAUAAGGUGCUUGAAAAAUGACCUAUAGGGUCAUUUUUUUUUUUUUUUUUUGAAGACAGUCUGGUUUUGAAAUGUACCAAUGAACAUAAGAGUCUCCAUAGACUCCAGCCAUCUGAGUCACUGAAGACUUUGUGGUUAAAUUAAAUUUUCGAAGAAAACUGGUUAAGUCUUAUAUGUUUGCAACAAUCAUUUUGUGCCAGACUGCUUCAUAAAUGAGGGUCUUUUCAAUGCUGGAUUUUCACAAAGAUUGAUUCUGAAACAUAUAAGGCUGAACACCGCUACUGACAGUUUCUGACAUUUUCAGUGCGUGAGAUUGUCCUGUUUUGUUGUUGCCGGUAUGCCGGAGCAUGAGCUAUUGAAGCUCCGCCCUCUUCUUAAAAAAGUGAGCCUGGAGCACCAGCUCAUUUGCAUUUAAAGGGACACACACAAAAACGGCACAUUUUUGCUCACCCCCCAAAAUGAAUCGAUAAAUUUCAUAUUACUUUCAUACUUUUAUGGAGGGAAUAUGUUGUAUACAUUGUCGUUUAGUGAUAGAGAAAGUGGGCAAACCUUACAAUUGAAUAACUAAUGGAACUACCUCAAUAACCUCAACUCUAGUACCUCAGCUUCAGUUCACACUCAAUUUUAACCCAGUAGUUUACAACUUCUGUUGAACCUUAAGACUAGCACUUGUAUCAUUUUACAUGAUCUGAAAGCAACUCAAGCAAUUAUCAUAUUAGGCCUAUUAUAAAUUCAAAAGGUUGUUGUACUGUUCUUAGACUUUAAAUUACAUUUCCCCUAUCGUCAAAAAUCUUUGAGAUGCCAUUUGCCAUAAAACAAUAUGAUUGAUUGUUCAGAUAAGCUCUGGUUUUAGCAUUUAGGACUGAUAAGCAUGCUGUGAAGAAGGAAACAUGAUGUGAUGUUUUAUCAGCUCCUUAUCUCACAAUGUAAUCAUGCUAAUAUCUGCAGAUCAGUGUGCGUUGCAGGGGGAAAUGGAUAGUGCUGAGUAAUGUCUCCUCUCAGUCUGUGCCGCCCAUGCCAGCACUGAUGUAACCGUGCCAGUAACUGAGUCUGCCGUCUCAGAUAUUGAGUCUGGGAGCGCACAGCCAAGCACUCGUCCCCCUGCCCUGUCUUUGAGACUCGAAGACAGUGGCAACAGUUCUUGUGUCCCUAUCUAAUGCUAACCUAAAACCACAUCUUCCAGUCUCUCUCUCCUUUACAGAGAUGAGACUCAAGCUUUGGCAUAAUUGUUGGAUGAGCCAGUAGGUGGUUCCAAGGCUUGAGGCUUCAGUUUCAAAUGUGCAUUAGCUGAUAAAUCAUAUUACUUCAUCACGCUGUCAUUCCUCUGAAAACAUAGACUCCGUAAUACCAUCAUGAUGACAUGUAUGCUUAUCUCAUGAGCUUGCACAUUUUAAUAAGUUGUGUGAAGUCUCACAAGCCCCUACUGUUCUUCGGUAAGUUGCCAUUUUAUCCUUCAGCUCACUUAUUUAGACACUUUAAGGGAAAUUACAUAAUGUAAGCAUGGGCCACAAUGAAUAACCACAGCAACCAGGAGCUCAAACCACUGUCGGAUGAUAGAACUAAUAGCUCAGACAUUUGAAAAUGACAGGUGAUAUUACCUUUCAGCAAAGAUUGUCCAGAUCCUAGGAAUGAGGGGACAUAGAGAUCCGAUUAGACUGAUUACCUCAUCAUUGUUUAGAGUGGCGGGAAGACAGUGAACUUCAUUUCACAGAAUGACUGCAGGCACUGUGAUGGAAGGCUAAUCAAUUGAUAGAUUACGCAACUGAUACGAGUGCUGUGCUAAAGCUGGGAGUGACUGUGAGUGGGAUUACUGUGGCCUCAAUGGACUGAAUGACUGAGAACUAACGGUCACUGGGGUCACUGACACUGAUAUCUGCUUCUUAGAAAACCAGAAUGUCAGACAUUGCAAGCAAGCUUGUAGAGCUGGAUUUGUCUAGGAUUUCAGAUUAUAACAUGUGGUGUAAUACAUCAUUCUUGUCAACUGGACAUGUUUCUCUUUGUUUUUGUUUUUUUUGUUUUUUCUCUCUCUUUUUCUGUAGCUUAAGAUGGUUCAGCUCUCAUCUAGGUGACUUCAUCAGUUGUGGAUUUAUGGUGGAGGUGCCUCUGCAUUUAACCUUGUUGAGCAACACUCUAGAGAGGACAUCUGGAAAAAAGGGAUCACAGAAAGCUCAAACAAAUCAACAACAAAAAAAGUUGGAGAAGUUCCUUGAAGACGUGGGCAUGAAUAUGAAGCGUGCGGUGGACAUCCAACCCAGCCUACAUCCAAGUGUGAUGUCAGAAGCCAGGCCAAUGCCACCCUGCAGCCGAUUAAGUUUUUUUUUUUUUUUUUAUCAUAUCAAUCACAGUACUAAUUGCCUACACCAAACACUCAUCCCUAAACCUCUACCUGUCUCCACCCCCUGGAUCUGGAUCCAACCUCACCCCCUGUACUACAGUGAGGAGCUACUGAAUCCUGGUGGACCAAUUUCCAGCAGUUUAGCUCAGCCCUAUUUAAACACACCUGAACCAGCUAAUCAAGAUAUUCAGAAUCACUAGAAACUUCUAGGCAGGUGUGUUGGAGAUUAAUUCUGAAGGACAUUGGCCCUCUAGGAGCAAGAUUAGACACCCCUGAGGUAUGCCAAAGAUGUCCAAUAUUGCUCCUGGAGGGUCAUUGUCCUGCAGAGUUCAUCUCCAAACCUAAACACACCUGAACCAGCUAAUCAUUGGCUGUGUCCGAAGUUGCCCCUAUACCCUUAAAUAGGGCACUAUUUGAGGGAACAGUCAUUUGUAGCGGUGUCCGAAUCCAUAGUGGACAUUAUCGAGUGUACUAAUUCAAUACGAUAAUGCACCGCAAUAACGAGUGUGCAACAGAUGUACACUCACCGGCUAGAGAAAACCCAUAAUGCACUGUGAAGGUUGUGUCAAAUGAAUUCCCGCAUCUCACCAGAAGAUGGUGCCCGCGGCUGAAUCAUCCAUCCAUCCAUCCAUUUUCCAAACCUCUGGUCCAAUGUGGCUACAGCAUAAUAUCAUACAGGUAUAAAUUCAUUUUAAUUGAUUAUAAAAUUGUUUAAUUAAGGUUUAUACAUGCUAGUUUCCAUGACAGAGUUCAAGAUAAAUCUUUUUAGUACUAUAGGAGCUGCCAGUUUGCUAAGUUUCAAAUGAUUAGUAAACAGCAAGCACAAACUAUGCAAAAGCGUCGCACUCAGUGGCGCACCUAUUGUCCAAAUUCACUCACUCGUUUUCAUUCACUCCUUCAAGUGAACUACAUUAGUUGAGUAAUGUAGGGAAUAGUGAAUGAGGGUAUAGGGGGCGAUUUUGAACACAGCUAAGGUCUUUAGCAUUACUCAAAAGUUCCAGGCACAUGUGUUUGAUGCAGGGUGGAGCUAAUUUGCAGGAUUUGACAACUGAUGUGCUUUUCUGAUAUAUUUGUAAGAUUACAAAUACGAUGUGGUAACAUCAUCUGACUACCUUCUGAUUUUCACCCUGUUUCACUCCUGAAAUCUUCUUCUCUGCUACAACUCCAACAAUUCUUGUGGUCUUGUGUGUAAUGAUGUUAAUAAGUCUUCACCAUCAGUCUACAACUGAUCAGGCUUGAAUAAGUGGUGAAAUGUGUUCAGAUAAAAAGAAGCAUCCAGUUGACCAGAAAAAUCUACUAGAACAAUCUAUUAUGACCUGGACAAACGAGAAUCUUCCCAGAAGUGCUGUAGCACUGAAUAGUAAAUUAUAGCACACAGAUUUACAUAAGUUCUUGACAGGUGGUGUGACAGACCACCAGGCAACAACGUCCAUUCCUUCUAAAACUGAUCCACCAAAUCAUACAUUCAUCCAUGUAAGACUCCUCUACACCCAUGCUGAGUUGCCUUGAACCAUCCCACCCGCUUGGCUACAAUGGAAAACAUCCCCCUCCUCUCACUCAACCCCCUAUUCCUCUAGCCUCACGGAAGACAUGAUGACAGUGGUGUCAGCACAGGUCACGGUGAUACACAGAGUCUGUUCGCACCAAGCUGCCAAUUCCUAUUCUUUCUCCUUUUCUUACUCCUCUCCCGUUGCUAGAUUUCUGGGUAGGUUCAUAGGGUCCAAAUUCCUGCCCAUCAGCAGCUCCGCUUAUGGCUCAGAGGUGUGGGGUUUCCACCUCUCUUGGCUGAUGGGCUCACUCGAUGUGGUCUUAAAGCCAAACUCAAAUAGGAUAGUGCUUCUUUUGGGCAAUUGUAAUCGGUUUAAUCUAAUUGCAGCGCAUCUUGUUUUUGACCAAGUGUGCAACAGAGUUUAUGUAGCUCAAGGUCAGAUGUGCUAUAUUUUCUGCUUUUUCAUAAAUGGCUCUGUGAUUAAGGAUAAUUCAUCACUGUUGACCAGCCAGAUCAUCUAAAUUAUACAUUAAUCUGUAAAUAAAGCAUUUCAGUGGCUAAUAAGAGAAAA
Ctenopharyngodon idella (grass carp) is the source of this 4751-nucleotide long non-coding RNA. RefSeq lists it as uncharacterized. The transcript has 2 exons. NCBI's taxonomy places the organism in Eukaryota, Metazoa, Chordata, Actinopteri, Cypriniformes, Xenocyprididae. The record is from RefSeq and is a predicted model, not a curated record.